This 26-nucleotide unclassified non-coding RNA is filed under the name synthetic construct. The record is from RNAcentral.
GGGAACAAAGCUGAAGUACUUACCCU